UGUGAUGUAAGCAAACAAGUCUUGUUUAUUACUAUGGCUUUGAUUCAAAGAUAAAAAAAGGAGUAGUAAUAUUUAGGAAGACAUUUGAUUGAAAUAGUAUUAUUGUCUAUAUGUCUCUUUGAUGGUUGUAGUAACCUGUAUCUGAGCUGUUUAAUGGAUAAAUUACCCUAUGCUAAUUGCCAUGAUGUUGUGAAAGAGAGAGAAG
Non-coding RNA from Chelonoidis abingdonii (Abingdon island giant tortoise), 205 nucleotides. The record is from RefSeq and is a predicted model, not a curated record. Lineage: Eukaryota; Metazoa; Chordata; Testudines; Testudinidae.